CCGAGUUUUGGGACCCUUUGGGUACCAGCUCCCACCAUCUGUGAACCUUUUUCGUUGCCUCGGCGUACCUGAUGGUACCCAUCCUUCGGCUUCUAGCUGGGGAGUGUACGCCGAUGGAUUUUCAAACCCGAUUUUAACUUUGAAAUCUGAGUAAAACAAAAUAAAAACA
Molecule: unclassified non-coding RNA, 169 nt
Filed under: uncultured fungus
Lineage: Eukaryota; Fungi
Description: sequence contains ITS1
Source: RNAcentral